AACGUAGGUAACCUGCCCAUGUGUCCGGGAGUAACUGCUGGAAACGGUAGCUAAAACCGGAUAGGUAUACAGAGCGCAUGCUCAGUAUAUUAAAGCGCCCAUCGAGGCGUGAACAUGGAUGGGCCUGCGGCGCAUUAGCUAGUUGGUGAGGUAACGGCCCACCAAGGCGAUGAUGCGUAGCCGGCCUGAGAGGGUAAACGGCCACAUUGGGACUGAGACACGGCCCAA
This 228-nucleotide ribosomal RNA is filed under the name uncultured bacterium. RNAcentral describes it as "partial 16S ribosomal RNA". It matches the Rfam family "Bacterial small subunit ribosomal RNA", at positions 114 to 334 of the family's 1533-position model. The record is from RNAcentral.